This 742-nucleotide ribosomal RNA is filed under the name Criconema sphagni. RNAcentral's name for it is "SSU rRNA". It matches the Rfam family "Eukaryotic small subunit ribosomal RNA", at positions 1024 to 1789 of the family's 1831-position model. The record is from RNAcentral. Lineage: Eukaryota; Metazoa; Nematoda; Chromadorea; Rhabditida; Criconematidae.
UUCUGACCGUAAACGAUGCCAACUAGCGAUCCGCCGGCGGCUUCUUGGCCCUGGUGGGGAGCUUCCCGGAAACGAAAGUCUUCCGGUUCCGGGGGAAGUAUGGUUGCAAAGCUGAAACUUAAAGGAAUUGACGGAAGGGCACCACCAGGAGUGGAGCCUGCGGCUUAAUUUGACUCAACACGGGAAAACUCACCCGGCCCGGACACCGUGAGGAUUGACAGAUUGAUAGCUUUUUCAUGAUUCGGUGGUUGGUGGUGCAUGGCCGUUCUUAGUUCGUGGAUCGAUUUGUCUGGUUUAUUCCGAUAACGAGCGAGACUCCAGCCUACUAACUAGUGCGGGCAUUGCUUCUGUGUUUGUCACUUCUUAGAGGGAUUGGCUGCGUCUAGCGGCACGAAACGGAGCAAUAACAGGUCUGUGAUGCCCUUAGAUGUCCGGGGCUGCACGCGCGCUACACUGGCAAAAGCAGCGUGCUUGUCCGCCUCCGAAAGGAGCCGGUAAACCCUUGAAAAUUUGCCGUGAUUGGGAUCGGAAAUUGCAAUUAUUUUCCGUGAACGAGGAAUUCCUAGUAAGUGCGAGUCAUCAGCUCGCGUUGAUUACGUCCCUGCCCUUUGUACACACCGCCCGUCGCUGCCUAGAACUGAGCCAUUUCGAGAAUAUUCGGGAUCGCUGGUUGCGGGUCUUUCGGGGCCCGCCUCUGGCAAGAGAACGAACGUAAUCGCAGUGGCUUGAACCGGGCAAAAGU